RNAcentral lists this ribosomal RNA (299 nucleotides) under Blastocystis sp. RNAcentral describes it as "partial small subunit ribosomal RNA". It matches the Rfam family "Eukaryotic small subunit ribosomal RNA", at positions 42 to 348 of the family's 1831-position model. Lineage: Eukaryota; Bigyra; Opalinata; Blastocystidae. RNAcentral also lists the same sequence under 1 other name. The record is from RNAcentral.
GAUUAAGCCAUGCAUGUGUAAGUAUAAAUAAUUUUACUUUGAAACUGCGAAUGGCUCAUUAUAUCAGUUAUAGUUUAUUAGAAAUACUUUACUACUUGGAUAACCGUAGUAAUUCUAGGGCUAAUACAUGAGUAAAUCCUCAACUUCGGAAGAGGUGUGUUUAUUAGUAUGAAAACCAUAUAUCUUCGGAUAUAAUAGUGAGUAAUAAUAACCUUUCAUAUCGUAUGUCGUAAGAUAACGAUAGUUCUUUCAAGUUUCUGCCCUAUCAGCUUUCGAUGGUAGUAUAUGGGACUACCAUG